Pelobates cultripes (western spadefoot toad) is the source of this 459-nucleotide non-coding RNA. The record is from the annotation of a GenBank genome assembly. NCBI's taxonomy places the organism in Eukaryota, Metazoa, Chordata, Amphibia, Anura, Pelobatidae.
AAAAUGACAAUCUGAAAGGUUAACCACAGAUGACAGUGGGUUAUCAGUGUAUGUUGAGGAUUGAGCACCUUUCAACCAAGCUGAGAAUGCCACAGUACGAGCAGUAGAUAUAACAAUACAAACAAUAGUGAUACGGUAAAUGGCAUGACAUAAUUCUAAGUUAUAGUAUCUGGAUAAGCUGUCGUGUCCAAUCUGUUAAUAGACUAAGCGAAGUCCAGUCAGGAGUCACAAGCGUUGCCCAUAAAUGCAAAAAGUCUGACGUAUGGGUGCUACACAAAUGUCACCCUGCACUGGCUUGUCAUUAUUCAACCUAUUCCCAGACAUAGUUGGAGCAAGACAAGGCAUUCUUCCAGCCCGAGGUCCAAAUGGAGGCCAGGAUCUGCAUGCCAUGGACUUGUCUCUGAAAGUCCAUGUCCUUGCCACAUUGUGGGAAACAAGGCUUUGGUGGUCUUGUACUGC